GACGAACGCUGGCGGCGUGCUUAACACAUGCAAGUCGAACGGAAAGGCCCUGCUUUUGUGGGGUGCUCGAGUGGCGAACGGGUGAGUAACACGUGAGUAACCUGCCCUUGACUUUGGGAUAACUUCAGGAAACUGGGGCUAAUACCGGAUAGGAGCUCCUGCUGCAUGGUGGGGGUUGGAAAGUUUCGGCGGUUGGGGAUGGACUCGCGGCUUAUCAGCUUGUUGGUGGGGUAGUGGCUUACCAAGGCGUUGACGGGUAGCCGGCCUGAGAGGGUGACCGGCCGCAUUGGGACUGAGGGACGGCCCAGACUCCUACGGGAGGCAGCAGUGGGGAAUAUUGCACAAUGGGCGGAAGCCUGAUGCAGCAACGCCGCGUGCGGGAUGACGGCCUUCGGGUUGUAAACCGCUUUCGCCUGUGACGAAGCGUGAGUGACGGUAAUGGGUAAAGAAGCACCGGCUAACUACGUG
Molecule: ribosomal RNA, 468 nt
Filed under: uncultured bacterium
Lineage: Bacteria
Description: partial 16S ribosomal RNA
Rfam family: Bacterial small subunit ribosomal RNA
Source: RNAcentral